CGCGGGAUUGGGGACGGGGUGCAGCAGGCGCGAAACCUUUACAAUGCACGAAAGUGUGAUAAGGGAACCCCAAGUGCUCAUGUUUUACAUGGGCUUUUGCCAAGUGUAAAAAGCUUGGAGAAUAAGUGGUGGGUAAGACUGGUGCCAGCAGCCGCGGUAACACCAGCGCCACGAGUGGGAACCAUGUUUAUUUGGCCUAAAGCGUCCGUAGCUGGCUUAGUAAGUCCUUUGUGAAAGUGUCAAGCUCAACUUGAUAAAAUACAGAGGAAACUACUAAACUAGAGACCGGGAGGAGUCAGGGGAAUUCUAUGGGGAGCGGUAAAAUGCUAUAAUCCUUAGAGGACCACCUGUGGCGAAGGCGCCUGACUAGAACGGAUCUGACAGUGAGGGACGAAAGCUAGGGGAGCGAUCCGGAUUAGAUACCCGAGUAGUCCUAGCCGUAAACGCUGUGAGCAAGGCGUUGCAUAUUCUAUAGGGAUGUGCAGUGUCGAAACGAAGGUGUUAAGCUCACCGCCUGGGAAGUAUGGUCGCAAGACUGAAACUUAAAGGAAUUGGCGGGGGAGCACAACAAGAGGUGCGGCGUGCGGUUUAAUCUAACUCUACGCAGAGAACCUCACCAGAGGCGACGGCAGGAUGAAAGUCAGUCUAAAGGGCUUACUUGACGAGCCGAGAGGUAGUGCAUGGCCGCCGUCAGCUCGUGCUGUAAAGUGUCCUGUUAAGUCAGGUAACGAGCGAGACCUGUAUUCAUAAUUACUAACGGCUAGCUUGCUAGGACCGAGCACUUUAUGAGAACUGCCUUGGAAACAGGGAGGAAGGUGCAGGCAACGGUAGGUCUGUAUGCUCCGAAUCUUCUGGGCUACACGCGCGCAACAAUGGUAAGGACAAUGGGUUGCAACUCCGAAAGGAGAAGCUAAGCCUCUAAACCUUAUCUUAGUUUAGAUUGAGGAUUGCAACUCAUCCUCAUGACAAUGGAAUCUCUAGUAAUCGGAUGUCAACAUCGUCCGGUGAACAAGUCCCUGCUCCUUGCACGAAUUCGCCGAAUCACUAGU
Molecule: ribosomal RNA, 1049 nt
Filed under: uncultured crenarchaeote
Lineage: Archaea; Thermoproteati; Thermoproteota
Description: bacterial SSU rRNA
Rfam family: Archaeal small subunit ribosomal RNA
Source: RNAcentral